Schistocerca nitens (vagrant locust) is the source of this 1146-nucleotide long non-coding RNA. RefSeq lists it as uncharacterized. The record is from RefSeq and is a predicted model, not a curated record. The transcript is spliced from 3 exons. Lineage: Eukaryota; Metazoa; Arthropoda; Insecta; Orthoptera; Acrididae.
CGUUAAGUCUGGUUGAGAAGAACAGCAGCAGAUCCCGAUGCAGCGGCAGCCGUUGGGCCGUCUAUAGAAGCAGCUGCCGACGGAUGACUAAAUCAGUUAUUUGUGAUUUCGAAAAGAUGGUCAGAAGGUUCCGUGGUGGAAUGGCAUGAGGAGAAAGAACUGGCGAGGAGAAAGAACUGUCGAGCACCCAAAAGCAACACUGUACGUUCUCAAGCAUUGUCGAGAAGAAGACAUCGACUGAACGUCUUUUUCGACAGUUCGUCUUAGGGAAGAUAUUGUGCAAUCAUAUUUUCCUUCUCACGUAAAACAUUUGCAACAGAUGGUGUCACAGCAGCUGUCCUUGCAUUGUAAAUUGUACUUAAAUGUUUGCGUUUGAGAUAAUCCAGCGAGUGAGAAUUGAUUAGGCAACGAAUUAUUCAUUUAAAAUUAUCAAAAUACUCGUAUUAAUUCUUUUUUGUUUAUAUAUGAUUAUUCUGCUCUGUGCUAAUUAUUAUGUUGGAGGAGUUUUCUUUAUUCUGGGAACUACAGCUCCACAAAAUAAUAAUACUUUAUGCGCACCAAAAACUUUGACAUGUAAUGCUAAUUUUACACAUCGGUUUGUUUUCUGUUGUCGCAAAAAGACGUUCCAAUCAACCAGACGCACCAUCUCAUGACACUAUUGUUCAUAUGAAGAGGAAUUUAUACACUGUAUGUGAAGUAAACGUGCAAAACAGGAAGAAAAUAAAGCUUCGUCAGCAGCCAAACUGCCGCUUCAAGCAGCGAAAUAGUCAUUUGACUCAUGAGAUAAAGGCCUUUCAGGAGAAGAACUACAUAGAUAAAGAGUACUUUAGUGCUAAACAGUGUACCCAGUGUAGCCUAAAUGAAGAGUUGUCGUGACACCAUCGUAGAACAAUAAGUGGUAUCAAGCUGGGGCUCUUGCAUUUGCAAGUGAUGCGCUAUGUAUGACAACAGAAUUUCAUUGAUUUGAUGGUUAGUGAAGUUAUAUGUAACUGUUUAAACAAAACUUUAUUUCUGAACUUGAUUGCUCACAUGAGGAUCACUAAUCACUUGAUAAUCACUUGGUACUAUAGUCUCAUGCACUGAGAACGCCUGAAGUCUGUUUCCCACAAAAACAAAACUGAAUGCAAGUACAGUAAUCUAUUUAUC